GUGUUUGCUUCGGCAGCACAUAUGCUAAAAUUGGAACGAUACAGAGAAGAUUAGCGUGGCCCCUUCAUUAGGAUGCAAUGCAAGUCCAUAAAAUGUUACAUAUUUAA
This 107-nucleotide small nuclear RNA is filed under the name Propithecus coquereli (Coquerel's sifaka). The record is from RNAcentral. Lineage: Eukaryota; Metazoa; Chordata; Mammalia; Primates; Indriidae.